This 68-nucleotide transfer RNA is filed under the name Marmota monax (woodchuck). RNAcentral describes it as "tRNA.Ala". The stretch from base 6 to 63 matches the Rfam family "tRNA", at positions 8 to 63 of the family's 71-position model. Rfam says of the family: Transfer RNA (tRNA) molecules are approximately 80 nucleotides in length. The record is from RNAcentral. Lineage: Eukaryota; Metazoa; Chordata; Mammalia; Rodentia; Sciuridae.
GGAUAUAGCUCAGUUGGUAGAGUGCUUGCCUUGCAUGCAUAAGGCCCUGGGUUCAAUCCCCAGGACCA